GACACUUCCGCAUGUAGAGUCAUGUGGGCCAGGAAUCGAACCGCCAAACCUACGAUUAGUGGACAACCCGCUCUACCACCUGAACCACAGCCGCCCCAAUUCUUUUGGGAGGAAAUACCUAUUAUUACCCAAAAAGAUUCUCCCAAUUUCAUUUGGAAAAGGUUCUUGGGUUCCUAAAGGGGCUCAACAUGGGAUCCUCUCUCAUUGUGAAACACACUGUUGUAGGGUUCUACAUAGAAACUUUAGAGAAAUCAUAAACUCCAAAAGGUUCUAGAUCCAACUGUAAGCAGCCUCUGAGGAAGCAUAGUGACUCAGUUCAAGGAGAAUAAAUAUUUCAAUAAAAAAAGAGAAAAAUAUUGGGAUUUUUUUUUUUUAAACGACCAAUAAUCCUUCUUUUAAGUUUAAAAGACAAAUAAGCAGACUGAAACUAUACAUUUCUAACUCUCAGCAGAACUGUACAGCAACAUUAAAAACAGUCUACUGUACGAAACACAAGCUUUUAUGUAAUCAGAACAAUGAACUACAUAAAAAGCUAGACAGUUCACUUGUCUUAGACCCAGCGUAUUCAAUUAAAAUAUUCAGCUUUGGAGAUCAAUCAUAUCUAAUAAACUGACUCAUUGGGUUAUAACUUUUUUGUUGUUGUUGUUGGUCCAAUUCCAGGUUUAACCGGCGUGAUAAGAAGGCGUGUCCGUCCACAUGUGCAGACACACUAAAGUCAGGAGUUACUGUUCGGUGGUUGAUAGAGGACAGGAGUCUGAUUGGUCGAAAGGCGGAAAAGGAGAACCCAGAUAAGAGCGAGACAACCCUUGUGUCAUCACCAUAUGCAAAUGAGUAAAGGUCAUUAAAAUGCUGAGGGAAGGGGGUUAUUUGACAGAACUCUGGGGGACCGCUGGACAAAACGGAGACACCGAGCCUGCAGACAAAUAGAAAGGAAGGAAAGAUGACAGGGAAGGUGUUAAAUGAGUGUAAUUAAGCUGUGUGUUAACACCUACUUCAAGGGGACACGAAACAAGUGACCUUAAGGAACAAUCCGGAAAUUUCUCACACUAAGGUUCACAAGGUCUUAUAUUGUCUUCUGGACAGGAUAUCAUCAUAUACUGUAAGUUCAUUAUGGAGACACUACAGUAUAGAUGAUGUACUAUCCAGUGUGGCAUACCUCCUCCUGUGGGAUACCACACACACGCACAGUCUGUGAUAGAGAGAGGCGGUUAAACCGUUACCAUUACUGAGUUUAGUAAUGGUAAGGGUUCUUUUGCUUCUUCUCGCUGGCACCAACUAUCGAAAACGCCAACUGGAAUGAACUUCAUAUGAAUAUUUUAUAAAUAUGUCAUAACAGCAUUGUAGUUCUAUCUGAUAUAAAUUCAUUUCUUAUUUAACGUAACAUUGCUUGAUGUGGAACUACACGCUGAAUCUUGUCCUUGUACAAUGACCCUAAAGGUAUUCAUAUUAGUAUAAGUGCAUGAAUUCAGUAAAUUCAUUUAAAAAAAAAAAAAAAAAGUCUAUUUUGCAUGCGGGCUGUGUUUAUGAUUAAAAUGUCUUGAUAUAACACAAAAUAGUGUGUCAGUAGUAACUACUUUCAGUGUAUAAAUGUAUUAUGUUGUGCCUUGGUGAAUUGUUAUAUUAAUUCGUCAAACAUGUAUCAUACACGACCAUUUCAGGUCAUCAGUUUUUGAGUUUUUUUGCAUUGGGUGCCUUGAGGAAGGAAUUGGCAUCCUUGACUGAGUACUGAUAAUAGCAAAUAUUAUGUGCUGAAUACUAUCAAUAAUGUACUAUGGCUCAAUAAACACAUCCAGCUGAA
Ictalurus punctatus (channel catfish) is the source of this 1798-nucleotide long non-coding RNA. RefSeq lists it as uncharacterized. The record is from RefSeq and is a predicted model, not a curated record. The transcript is spliced from 2 exons. NCBI's taxonomy places the organism in Eukaryota, Metazoa, Chordata, Actinopteri, Siluriformes, Ictaluridae.